Molecule: long non-coding RNA, 487 nt
Organism: Microtus oregoni (creeping vole)
Lineage: Eukaryota; Metazoa; Chordata; Mammalia; Rodentia; Cricetidae
Exons: 3
Source: RefSeq, a predicted model, not a curated record
CGAUGACUCACGCAGCCAGGCCUUCGCCCCGCCGGGCUGGCACGUGAGCGCGCUGCUCGCCCAUUCUAAUUUUAGCCAUGAGGUGUCAGGGUCGUGUGAGGAAUACUUGUGUGAGGAUGAAGCUAUCUCAGAAUGACUGAUGUGAAUGAUGAAAACAAGGCUGCAUGUUUUAGCAGGGAACAUCUGUCCUCUUGCUGGUCCAGAGGAGGAGGGACCAAUGCGGUAGCCUGUGAGCCCAGCACCUAAACCUUGGUGGAGAGCAGGAACACAAGCUCCUGGGAGGCCAAGUUUUCAUCUGGCACUUGGUGGAUGCCUGCUGACUAUCUUUAAGUGAAGGAAUAAGCAGGAAUUAAUGGUUCAGACGUGCCUGGAUUGACGUUUUGGGGAGCAGGUUUUUCUCAUCAUGUAUCAGACUGGAUGCCAGGCAAUAGCUGGGGGAGACAUGCUUCAAUUCCUGUUCCUUUGAGUAGUGGCCAGGCCCAGCAGG